This 393-nucleotide ribosomal RNA is filed under the name uncultured bacterium. Its description in RNAcentral is "partial 16S ribosomal RNA". It matches the Rfam family "Bacterial small subunit ribosomal RNA", at positions 523 to 918 of the family's 1533-position model. The record is from RNAcentral.
AUACGGAGGAUCCGAGCGUUAUCCGGAUUUAUUGGGUUUAAAGGGUGCGCAGGCGGGAGAUUAAGUCGGCGGUGAAAUUUUGCAGCUCAACUGUAAAAGUGCCUUUGAAACUGGUUUCCUUGAGUGUAGAUGAAGUAGGCGGAAUUUGUGGUGUAGCGGUGAAAUGCAUAGAUAUCACGAGGAACUCCGAUUGCGCAGGCAGCUUACUAAACUACUACUGACGCUCAGGCACGAAGGCGUGGGGAUCAAACAGGAUUAGAUACCCUGGUAGUCCACGCAGUAAACGAUGAUUACUAGCUGUUUGCGAUACAAUGUAAGCGGCUGAGCGAAAGCGUUAAGUAAUCCACCUGGGGAGUACGUUCGCAAGAAUGAAACUCAAAUGAAUUGACGGGG